RNAcentral lists this long non-coding RNA (252 nucleotides) under Elaeis guineensis (African oil palm). RNAcentral describes it as "long non-coding RNA (EGUI_LNC066234)". Lineage: Eukaryota; Viridiplantae; Streptophyta; Magnoliopsida; Arecales; Arecaceae. The record is from RNAcentral.
GUUAUGAUAUAUUUGAAUGAGUCGGUCGACUGUGCGUCAAGAGUCAGUUGUCAGUUACUAACUCUGAAAUACCGAUGAUCGAAGUUGUUUAUUGUCUGUAGAGUUCGAAGAUCAGCCCCUUACCGAUCUUGAUUUGGUGAGAGGUGUUCAAUUGGUCGGUCGAGAGUAGCGUCGGCCUGUCGAGUUGGUAAUCGCUUUCAGGGUCAUCUUUGUUUAAUGGGUCUGAGUUGGGUGUCGAGCAGAUUGCAUCGG